Non-coding RNA from Sus scrofa (pig), 7977 nucleotides. NCBI's taxonomy places the organism in Eukaryota, Metazoa, Chordata, Mammalia, Artiodactyla, Suidae. The record is from RefSeq and is a predicted model, not a curated record.
CUCAGGGUCACCAGACUCCGUGGAUACUUGGGGGCCUCAUCUUUUCUGGCCUUUCAAUAUCCGGCGACUUUUUUCUGGAAAGUUCUCCCAUGGCUGUGGCUUCCAGGCUGGCACUCCCACUCCUCUGUGCACUGCCCUCUGCUUUCCCUUGAAGAGUCCCCAGGGUUCCACGCGGGUCUCCUGGUGUGCCCCGGCCACGUGCCCAGGGCCCCAGCGGAGCCCCAGCCCCUCAAGCCCCUCCCAUCUCUCGGAUGCACUUCUUCUGCCCACGCGCCUGCUGGACACCUGGUCCUAAGGUCGCCAGUCCAUCACCAGACCCCGACUCUCCCUCUGGGCCACCCUUCCGCCGUCAACCACGGUCCGGCCGCCGUCACGCUGGAAUGUCCUCCCUACCCGCCUGUUGGAUGCUGACCUUUGUCUUUGGGGCCCUUCUCCCGGCUCUACUUCUGUUUCAGGGGACCUUGGAACCCGUCCAGGGCUCCCCCACCCUCCAGCCCCCAGAGCAGAGGGUGGUCCUGUGCCCUGAGACGCCCUCUGGCAGCUGCCGCUUAGUAACUUGACCUCCGCGUUCCUGCCCUGCUGCUGUCUGAAGGCUCAGGAGGCGGGCAGUCCUGGGGAUGCCCUCGAGACCCUCAUUCUUACGUGCCCACCUGAAACCCUGCCCCCACAGCUGCUUAUCUGUUGUGGUUCAGGCACCGGCCAGAAGGCAAAGGUGGGCUCGUUAACCACUGAGCCUCGAUGGGAACUGCUGAAGACAAGCUUUUGUUUGGCUGAGUCCCCAGCAUGUGGAAGUUCAAACCCACACCAUGGCCGUGACCUGAGCCCCUGCGGUGGCAAUGCUGGAUCCUUAACCUGCUGAGCCGCAAGGGAACUCCGAGACGUGCUCGAGAACAUGGCGUCCUGACAGCUUUUGGUGGCUCCCCUGCGCCCACGACGGCGGAGUCUCCUCCCCACGGUGCACAGAUGGCCCCGGGGCCCUGGCUGGCCUUCCUUGACCGCCGUGCUCCCUUCUUGUGUCAUCUCCCCCUCAGCCGGGCCCAGAGCCGUCCGGCCCCCUCCUCUCCUUGCUGGGUACCUCCUUCCGUGGCAGCGCUGCUGGCUUCUCUGCCGACGGCCUCGAGAGCUGGGAGUGGGCGAACCCAGGGCCAAGGAGGCUGGGCUUUGUUCCCUGUCCCCCCCUUCCACCCUCCCUGCCGGGUCGCUGGAGAGGGGACUGCGACAGCUUCUCACCUAGAGUGGACUGGCCUGGGCCCCGGGCGGGCUGGGAUGCUCUAACCAAGCCUUGUCCCCAGCCCCGGAGAGACCGGGCAGCGGUCAUUUUCAGGGCUGGACAGCCCCUGGCCUGAAGCCUCCAGGAGAGCUCAGGUCAGCCAGCUCAGGGCUGCCGGGAGAUCCGGAGACCCCGUGACGAGCUGACUUGUGUCCCCCAGUGGGUGUGUUAAAAUCCUAAUCGGCACGUCGAGCUGUGCCUGCUUAGAGGGAGGGCUUUGACAGGGGUGGGCAAGGUCAAACGAGGUCAUGAGUGUGGGCGUUUAUCCAGGCGCCGGUGUCCUCAGAAGGGGCGAUCAGGACACGCAGCCCUGAAAGAAGGGAGACCCUGACACAGGCUGCAACAUGGAAGGACCUCGACGUCACAUUCUGGGACAGAAACCAGCCACCAAAAAUGUCACAUACUAAUCCAGGGAGUUCCUGUCGUGGCUCAGCGGUAACGAACCUGACCGGGAUCCAUGAGGAUGCAGAUGCAGGAGUGGUGGCGCCCGUGGUACCCGUGUUUAACUCACGGCCGGGACUGCUGCCAGCACCGCUGACUCACAAUGACCGUGGCGCAAGUGCGAGCGGGAGCCUGAGCGCAGCUGGGCAGGCCUGCUCCUCCCUCGGCCUCGGCGCUGCCCCAGUGCCGACUCUGCCCUGGCGACUCCCCUGUUUGGAGACAGCGGCAUCAGGGAGGCUGUUUCUGGGGGGUGCCGUUCGGUGGCUUCUGGUCCAUUCGCGGUCAUGCAACCAUCAUACAGUUAUUUUUCACCCAUUUCAUCACUUCAAACGGAAACCUGCCAUCUAACCACCAGCCCCCCGCCCCGAGCCAGCGCUAACGGGCUUUCUGUCUGUGAGCUGGCCUGUUCCAGGAACCCUCGGGCAGCGGAGUUACACGCGGCUUGCCCUCUGCCUCAAGCCUCAAGGUGCCUCGGGGUUGUGGCAGGUGUGAGGGCGCGAUCCCUUUAAAGGCCCGGUCGCGGCCAUCGCCCGGCUGGACCUCAUCCUGCCCAGGCCUUGAGCCGCAGACAGGCCUGUGGGUUGCUUCCACCUUCCGGCACCUGAGUAAAGCUGUUGAGAACAUGCGCGUCCAGCCUUUCCUGGGGACACGUGUUUGCGUUUCUCUCGGGAAUAAACCUAGGCGAGCAAUUUCUGGGUCGUGUGGCGCCUCUUGGUUUCAUCGAUGGGCUACCUGCCUGGGGAACACCUACCUCUGAGCAGUCACAGCCCCGCUGCAGGCCCUCGAAGAGCUCCUGACCGCAUAGCCCAGGCCUUGCCUCCUGCCCUCCGCCCUCCGCCCUCCGACCUCUGCCCUCCACCCUCUGCCCUCCAUCCUGGGACUGCGGCCCGAGCCCCCGCCCACCGCAGAGGUUUGGCGAAGGCCUGGGUCUCCGCCUGGAGCUCUCCCACUUUCCUCCUGCCUUUCUUCGGGCCUCAGGGCCAGGCAGGCUCCUUGGAGCUCCUUUCCUGCACGGCUCCCAUGGUAUUUGUGCAAUUGGUUGACGGGAGCCCAGGUCUGGGGCUCCAGGAGGGCAAGCAGUCGGCUUUAAAGCCCAGAACGGAGGUUCCGAAUCAUUUGGCGCAAGAAGGCAUUCUCCGAGCAGAAGGGGACUCGGGGCUGUUUUAUUUUCUAAAUGGGUCGCCGGGGACCGGGCUCCCUCUCGCCUACACGACGUGCUCCAAUCUCGUCCCCCUUUUCUGGGGCUCCGAGCUGGCAGCACGUGGCCACAAUUUGAGGAGAGGCUGCCUGGGAAUGAAGCCAUGACGAGGAAAGAUGGACAGAAACAGGAGAAAAGGAAUGAAGCACCUGGAUGGAGCUGUACCUGAAACCCAGCGUCCUGCCGCGGGAGGGGAGCGCACAGCGUCCGGGACGCAGUCCCCGAGCAAGAAACGGCUGUCGCUGAAGCGCAAGGACCGGUUUCCAUCGGCCGUGGGCUCGCGGUGGGGACACCUGCAGCGGGAACGGGACCUCGGGCGGGGUUUGUGCGGUGGCGACUGGGAUUUUAAGCGCUGGGCAACCGUCACCCGAGUCCACUGGGAACAUCUUCUUGACUCCACGACUCCACGAAGAAACCUGCCCCCCCCCACCCCCGGGGACUUGCCUGCUCAGGAUCCUUCACUCCAGGGGAUGGUCAGAACAGGCCGUGCCCUCCCGUCACCUGUCCCGCUCAGCGUCACCUACGAGAGGUGCGCCUGGGUGGUCUGUGUUGGCGCCUCGCCCUUUACCUGGCCCACCAGGACUGCACCACAGACACACCACAACUGACCCGCUGACCGUCGGGUGCGGGACGUGUGGGUUGUUUCCACCUUUUGGUCGUUAGGAGUAAAGCUGCCCUGCAUCUGGGUGUCUCUCACCCUGCAGCAAUGGGCCCAAACUUGGCCAAUACCGGCCGCUUCCCUAAUUGCUGCCCUGCUGCCAGCUCAGGACCAACCAGAGAAAGCCCAGUGUGCUCCCGGACCCACCGGACGCUUGCAGCAUCCCCAGCCCACAGCCCUGCUCAGGGCACAGGGGGGCCCUAUCUCUAGGAAGCCGCCCCCUCGCCUGCCUGCCUUCGAGUCUCUGCCAGCGUGAUGGGGCUGCCUCCCAGCUAGAGCAGAGCCCCAGCCCCUGCCUGCGCUCGCUCGGGUCCUUCGUUUCCAUGUUUUGUCUGCAGGGCCACAUCAGACCCUUGGCACGUGGAGGUUCCCAGACUAGGGCUCCAAUUAGAGCUAUGGCUGCUGGCCUACACCACAGCCAUAGUGACAUGGCAUCCAAGCCAAUUCUGCGACCACCACAGCCCACCGCAACGCUGGAUCCUUAAUCCACCCAGCAAGACCAGGGAUCGAACCUGUGUCCUUGCGGACACCAGUCAGGUCUGUUACUGCUGCGCCACAAGGGCAACUCCCCGCUGUGCGACUCUUCAUGAAUUACGGUCUUUAUUUCAGGACAAGCUGGGACUGAGUCAUGAAAGGGGCGCCAGUGCCCCGCUCACGUGGGAAACCCGCCCCUCCCUGCGGCCAGGCGACCUGGGCCAGGCUGUGUUCUGCUCACCUUUUCCGGCUCGUCCUGCCGGCCUCGUCCCCCCGUCCCCCCCCCCCCCGUGUCUCUGUCCAGGAAGCUGUGGCCUCCCGGGCGGCUGGGCCUUGCCACAGGCCUCCCUUCACCCCUCCCCCCGCCGGACUGGGCUCCUCCUCCCCUCCUUCCGGGAUGCUGGCCCUCGAAGCGCCGCAUGAACUGGGCGGGCUGGGAGGAGACGGGGGCACUUUCGCAGGGAAGGAAAGCGGACCCGCUGCCCCAAAUCAAGCAGCUCCGAGGACCAAAAACGGCUCCCGGGCCUGCGCUCCUCCCGCUCCAACGGCCCGACCAGGGAUCCAGCCCGGGCGCUGCAGCGCCCCCUGCCGGUCCCGGGACCCAGGACGCCUGCCUCUGUCUCCAGCCAACAGCUGCUUCACGGCUCAGACGCAGCAGGCACCGCCGGGGACCGUCACCCACAAAUGUGACUCUAACCGAGAUCUAUCCGCGGAGGAAGGGCAGGGAUGGAGAGGUGAGCAGGAGCUGGGCUCCAACCAAAGCCAACUUAAGAGGCAACCUGGGGAAACCGGUGACAGGAUGGGUCAGGUAACAAAUCAUUUCAGUCGUGUUAGAACUUUUUAAAAGACCACUCUUGGUGGUUGUGCCUGAGUAUUUAUGACUGGCUCCCAAAUAACUCCGUGGCAGGGAAGCAUCUGCAGGACAUGAACCCCGAGAUCCCCCUUGGGGCGGGGGGGGGUACGUGGGUGCAGUCUGCUGUUUUGCAGAAAUGACAGCUUUGCUGCGAUACAGUGGUUUUCAGGUUACAGGGCUAUGCAACCAUCACCACGGCCUGAGAACCCUGUAUUUUUCAUCUGCUCGAAAUGCUCCCACAAGCCUCAGGUCCACGACGAGGGUACCAGAUCACUGGUGUCUGAACGAGCUUCCCAGGAGACCUGUCCUGCUCCGACUGGGACACCGAAAGGCCUCAGGGUGGCCCCCACCCCAGCUCCCUUUUGGCUUACUGGACAGUGGGCCUGUCUCCAAACGCCCAGGGCACUGACUCAAGGGGCACCUCGAGGAGGCUAGCCUGCCCUGGGGGGCCCAUGGUGACCUGGAUCAGGCCCACCCUUCUGCCUGUACCCCUGCUCUCCUCUGCCCCCAGGCCACCCCAGGAAUCCAGCCAGGGCUUUCUCCCCCCUGGCGGUGAGGCUGCCCGCAGCCCCGUUAGCAUUGGGCGCAGAAACCAGGCUUGGCAGGCCCCCAACCUUUAUUAACCCCCUGGCAGGGCGACGGGGCCCUGCUGGCCACCUGCUGGGAGGAGGGGGAGGGGGCACGGUGCCCAGAUGACCUCAGCAGGCUGUUUUGGUGGCAGAACCUGGGUGGUGGCAUUUUGGCUGAUCAGCUGCUGGGGGCCUGACAGGUGACUGCUGUGCAGAUGGCCGCCCCUGCGGCGCUGCCACUCCUGCCCAGGGAGCCACGCAUGGACACCGCACACUCCCUGAGGACAGCAGCGGCCUUCCAGCACCAAGAGGUUUUGGGUGAAAGAGCGUGUGCACAUGUUUGGCAAGCGAAGCUGGGGGACCCCCUCUCCUGCCACCCACGUCUGCAGCGGAAGCUGCUGGAAGACCCUGCGGGAGCUGGGCUUCAUGAGAGGAAGAGAUUCAGGGGCUUGGAGAAGAGGCAGGGCCCAGACCCUCCCCAGCUCCAGGGUUCACUGCCUCCUUGGGGACAAAGAAACCCCUGGAUGUGGACACCCCCCGCCUCGGAGGGGUCACUGUGCAGAGAAGCAGCUGCUGGACGCCAGGUAGGCAGCGGGAGGAGGUGAAGCUGGCCGCUCGGGAAGGGUGGAUGGUCUCCGGACCCCCAGGCAGGCUGGGGGAGGGGCCGGGGCGCAGCGGCAGGUGGGGGCUCAGGCCGAGCUUGGCCGCCCCCUCCUGGACGCCGGAGAAACUGCGGGGGGGGGGCGCUGGGCGUGACCCGGCCACUCAGAGGCCACAUCAGGAUGGCACCUUGAUGCCAAAGUGUUUGCGAAGCUGUUCCAGAAACACGAAGGUGAGCACGGUGUGGGGCAUGAGGCGGAUGCCGGCUGGCACGAGGCCCUGAGGGAGACCGGGGUGGGGGUGGGGGGUGAGAGGAGCCCUGGAGGGACCCCCGCUCCGCCCCCAGCCCCCGCCGAACCUUGUAAAAGGCCAAGGGCCCGAGCUUGGCCGUCUCCAUGGCGCAGUGCAGGACCCCCUGCGGAAGGUGCAAAGCGACACGAGAGCUGGACCCCUGCCCCUGCGGAGGGACGGCGGCCCGCCCCGCCCAGGGAAGGUCACAGGGAAACCCUGGUGGCUGAGCUGGGGGCACAAGGGUCGAGGGCUACCCUGGCUGCUCCCUGGCCACACCCAGGGCCAGGCUGCCUGACCCAGCCCCGUGAGGACACAGGAGACGCCCCGUGUGACUGGUGGAGCCCCCCGCAGGGCAGGGCAGGGCAGGGCAGGGCAGGGCAGGGCGGGUUUCCCUGAGCACGGCCCGACCGACCGGGCGCGCCUGGUAACGGGGUGUGGCAAAAUCUGAUUUUAAAAGCACACAGGGCCCAGCUGCUCCGGGCCGGACAGCCACGGGGAGGGUGGCCUCGCUGGGCUGCUCACCUGGUACUCGCCCUUGGCGUUCAUCAGGCGGGUCUUGAGCACGUCCAGGGGCUGGCAGAGGACCGUGGCACAUCCACCCUGGGGGGCGGGCCGUUACCAAGAGCCGCUGGGCACCCCGCCCUCCUCCCCAGGCCCCCGGGGCCGCAGGGCUCACCGGGGACCGUCCCAGCCCAGGCUCUGGGGGACCCGCGGGGCCUCCAGAAGACUCGCCAAAGCCUGCUGCCGCUCCGAGCCCUGGCUGCCCCCCAGGGGCACCCCGCCACUCACCGCGAUGAAGCUGGCAAUGAAGUGAGUGAAGAUGCCAUCAGACAGGUGCCCCGUGCUGAGGACCAGCUGCUUGGCCUGGUCAUAGCAGGAUAGCUGUGGCAGGCAGAAAGGUCAGGGCAGGAGGGAGAGCCCCCAGCUCGGGGGAAGCAGCCCAGACCCACACCGCCAGCUGGACAGAGGCCAAACCACCUGCUCUGCGGGUCUCCUACGGUCACCACACCUGGGGGCGGGGGACCGACGAGGCCCCGCCCCGCCCGCAUUCCGUGCCCACUGCCUUCCUGCGGAUCUCUCGGAGGGCUGAGGCCAGACGCCCCGGAUCCCGCCCCCCCCCAAGGAGAAGGCGCACCUGGCCCACGUGACCAGCAUCCCUCGACUGGACGCCAUGGUCGCGCCCGAGAACAGCUUCUUCAGACCCUCUGCCGCAGGAAGGGGAGACGUCAGGGGCCCGGCCCAGACCCCGCCGGCCCCGCCCCGCCCCCGCGCCAAGGGCCUCCCCUCUCACCCUCGCGGGCCACGCGGUACAGGCCGUCCAGGGCGUGGGCGUAGCUGUCAGGACACACGGUGGCCAUGAGUCGCCUCCUGGCCCUUCCCGGGCCAGGAGGCACUCGGGGCGCCACAGGGGCCAGAUGGAGGUGCCCUUUCUGUGAACACAGCCUGUGGACCCCGAGUGCCCCCGGCAAGCCCCUCCCUGCGGGCUGCCUGCUCUGAGGCUGGUCCUUCCGGAGGGCGGGAGGAGGGGACGCUGGACAGGGAGGGUCGCCUGCAGAUGCUGUCUCCUGAACUGACGCCUGGGCCAAAGGCAGCGUCAGGCCAUAAACAGCACUUUGGAACCCA